Cavia porcellus (domestic guinea pig) is the source of this 104-nucleotide small nuclear RNA. The record is from Ensembl. Lineage: Eukaryota; Metazoa; Chordata; Mammalia; Rodentia; Caviidae.
GCAUUCACUUUGGCUAUGUAUAUACUAAAAUUGGAAUGAUACAGAGAUUAGCUUGGCCCAUGUGCAAGGAUGACAUGCAAAUUUGUGAAGUGUUUCAUAUGUUU